UACGUAGGGGGCGAGCGUUGUCCGGAUUUAUUGGGCGUAAAGAGCGUGUAGGCGGCCAGGUAGGUCCGUUGUGAAAACUCGAGGCUCAACCUCGAGACGUCGAUGGAAACCAUCUGGCUAGAGUCCGGAAGAGGAGAGUGGAAUUCCUGGUGUAGCGGUGAAAUGCGUAGAUAUCGGGAGGAACACCAGUGGCGAAGGCGACUUCCUGGCCUGUUCUUGACGCUGAGGCGCGAAAGCUAGGGGAGCAAACGGG
Molecule: ribosomal RNA, 253 nt
Filed under: uncultured bacterium
Lineage: Bacteria
Description: partial 16S ribosomal RNA
Rfam family: Bacterial small subunit ribosomal RNA
Source: RNAcentral